CCUACGGGAGGCAGCAGUGAGGAAUAUUGGUCAAUGGGCGCGAGCCUGAACCAGCCAAGUAGCGUGAAGGAUGACUGCACUACGGGUUGUACACUUCUUUUAUCAAGGAAUAAAGUGAGGCACGCGUGCCUUUUUGUAUGUACUUUAUGAAUAAGGAUCGGCUAACUCCGUGCCAGCAGCCGCGGUAAUACGGAGGAUCCGAGCGUUAUCCGGAUUUAUUGGGUUUAAAGGGAGCGUAGGUGGGUUGUUAAGUCAGUUGUGAAAGUUUGCGGCUCAACCGGAAAAUUGCAAUUGAUACUGGCAGCCUUGAGUACAGGUGAGGUAGGCGGAAUUCGUGGUGUAGCGGUGAAAUGCUUAGAUAUCGCGAAGAACUCCGAUUGCGAAGGCAGCAUACUAAACUGCCACUGACAUUGAUGCUCGAAAGUGUGGGUAUCAAACAGGAUUAGAUACCCGUGUAGUC
This 460-nucleotide ribosomal RNA is filed under the name uncultured bacterium. RNAcentral's name for it is "partial 16S ribosomal RNA". It matches the Rfam family "Bacterial small subunit ribosomal RNA", at positions 338 to 795 of the family's 1533-position model. The record is from RNAcentral.